Molecule: long non-coding RNA, 454 nt
Filed under: Glycine max (soybean)
Lineage: Eukaryota; Viridiplantae; Streptophyta; Magnoliopsida; Fabales; Fabaceae
Description: long non-coding RNA (GMAX_LNC000129)
Source: RNAcentral
UGUCACUGUCCAUCGUGCAUUGCCGUAGAGUUGAUUGGUGAUGGUGCACGUUUUCCCCCUUUUUAUCCGCUUCUUCUCCCUCAUCUUCCCUCUUCCGACGCCUCUGGAUCCAAUGGCAUCUCCAUUGCCAUCGUUCCCACCUUUCGUCAUCCCGUAAUGCCUCCCUUUCUCUGAUCUCUUCCUCCCCCUCCAUGCAAACUCAUCAAGGUGGAUAUGAAUGUCAGUGACAUGCAUGAAAAAUUUGGUUGCCAAUAGCACACUCAUCAAAUCUUGUUGACAGUGACCUCACCGAUAUAAUUCCCGUGAAAGACGUGGCAGCACUAUGAUGCAUAUGGUUUGCCGACGGCAUGCGAGGCAGAUCUAGUUGUUGACAAGAUAUUGCAGAAAAUUUGGUUUCCAAGAUUCCCAUCCCACGUGAUGUCGAUUCAAAUUUGAACCACAAAUUUCAUGAAGG